Molecule: ribosomal RNA, 253 nt
Filed under: uncultured bacterium
Lineage: Bacteria
Description: partial 16S ribosomal RNA
Rfam family: Bacterial small subunit ribosomal RNA
Source: RNAcentral
UACGUAGGGACCGAGCGUUGUCCGGAAUUAUUGGGCGUAAAGAGCUCGUAGGCGGUUUGUCGCGUCUGCCGUGAAAGUCCGGGGCUCAACUCCGGAUCUGCGGUGGGUACGGGCAGACUAGAGUGAUGUAGGGGAGACUGGAAUUCCUGGUGUAGCGGUGAAAUGCGCAGAUAUCAGGAGGAACACCGGUGGCGAAGGCGGUUCUCUGGGAAUAUCCUGACGCUGAGGAGCGAAAGUGUGGGGAGCGAACAGG